RNAcentral lists this ribosomal RNA (117 nucleotides) under Danio rerio (zebrafish). Lineage: Eukaryota; Metazoa; Chordata; Actinopteri; Cypriniformes; Danionidae. The record is from RNAcentral.
GGCCACAGCUAUAUAACCUUACAGCCCAAGACCAGUUACUCAAUGAAGCUAAGCAGGGCCGAGCCUGGUCAAUAUCUCGAUUGGAUCCCACAUAGGAAAACUAGGUCGCUGUUGGAA